This 531-nucleotide ribosomal RNA is filed under the name uncultured bacterium. RNAcentral describes it as "bacterial SSU rRNA". It matches the Rfam family "Bacterial small subunit ribosomal RNA", at positions 8 to 526 of the family's 1533-position model. The record is from RNAcentral.
AGAGUUUGAUCAUGGCUCAGGACGAACGCUGGCGGCGUGCUUAACACAUGCAAGUGGAGCGACGAACCGGGGCUUGCCCCGGGGCAGAGCCGCGAACGGGUGAGUAACACGUGGGUAACCUACCUCGACGAUUGGGACAACCCGGGGAAACUCGGGCUAAUACCAAAUGUGCUCGUAGACCAUGAGGUCCAUGAGUAAAGAUAGCUUCGGCCUUCGCAUCGAGACGGGCCCGCGGCCCAUUAGCUUGUUGGUGAGGUAACGGCUCACCAAGGCGACGAUGGGUAGCUGGUCUGAGAGGACGAUCAGCCACACUGGGACUGAGACACGGCCCAGACUCCUACGGGAGGCAGCAGUCGGGAAUCUUGCGCAAUGGGCGAAAGCCUGACGCAGCAACACCGUGUGGGCGACGAAGGCCUUCGGGUCGUAAAGCCCUGUUGUUGGGGACGAAGGGCGAAGGGUUAAUAGCCCCUAGUCUGACGGUACCCUUCGAGGAAGCCCCGGCUAACUACGUGCCAGCAGCGGCGGUAAUAC